This 405-nucleotide ribosomal RNA is filed under the name uncultured bacterium. RNAcentral describes it as "partial 16S ribosomal RNA". It matches the Rfam family "Bacterial small subunit ribosomal RNA", at positions 30 to 526 of the family's 1533-position model. The record is from RNAcentral.
AUUGAACGCUGGCGGCAGGCUUAACACAUGCAAGUCGAACGAGUGGCGGACGGGUGAGUAAUGCUUGGGAAUCUAGCUUAUGGAGGGGGAUAACUACGGGAAACUGUAGCUAAUACCGCGUACCAUAGGCUGAGCCCAGGUGGGAUUAGGUAGUUGGUGAGGUAAAGGCUCACCAAGCCGACGUUCUCUAGCUGGUCUGAGAGGAUGACCAGCCAAACUGGAAUGGAGACACGGCCCAGACGCCUACGGGAGGAAGCAGUGGGGAAUAUUGCGCAAGGGGGGAAACCUGAGGCAGCCAGGCCGCGUGAAUGAAGAAGGCCUUCGGGUUGUAAAGUUCUUUCAGUAGCGAGGCGUUACCUGCAGAAGAAGCGCCGGCUAACUCCGUGCCAGCAGCCGCGGUAAUUC